This 367-nucleotide long non-coding RNA is filed under the name Vigna radiata. RNAcentral's name for it is "long non-coding RNA (VRAD_LNC017631)". Lineage: Eukaryota; Viridiplantae; Streptophyta; Magnoliopsida; Fabales; Fabaceae. The record is from RNAcentral.
AAAAACUAAAAUAAACAUGCAAAUGCAAAAGCUUGAUCAAUUGACAGAUAAAGAUAUGGAUGAAUGGUUUUGCUGGGGUUUACGGUUUCAUUCUAAUCCACUCUCCUAUAUCUACAAUUCUUAUUCGAUUCAACUUUGUUAUCAAUGUUCAUGCAACUUUCUAAUUUACUCUAAACCCGAUGUCUCGGCGAAGAGAGCCUACUCCCAAUUACUCGUUUACUAUGUCUGGUCUCCCUAGUAAUUAGUCAUGCAUUUCAAUGUACAGAAGCUUAAAGCAAUUGACCGUCUUAUUCCUAUGUCUAGGUAAUAUUGCUAAUCAAGAGAAUUCCCCUCAUGUCUAGAUUUCCGUGUAUGUGUCAAUAUCGAC